GCGGAUGUGACUUAAAGGUAAAGUGCUUGGUUGAAGCCCAAGUUAUGGAGGUUCGAUUCCUUCCGUUCGCACAA
RNAcentral lists this transfer RNA (74 nucleotides) under marine bacterium AO1-C. RNAcentral describes it as "tRNA-Phe". It matches the Rfam family "tRNA". Rfam says of the family: Transfer RNA (tRNA) molecules are approximately 80 nucleotides in length. Their secondary structure includes four short double-helical elements and three loops (D, anti-codon, and T loops). Further hydrogen bonds mediate the characteristic L-shaped molecular structure. tRNAs have two regions of fundamental functional importance: the anti-codon, which is responsible for specific mRNA codon recognition, and the 3' end, to which the tRNAs corresponding amino acid is attached (by aminoacyl-tRNA synthetases). tRNAs cope with the degeneracy of the genetic code in two manners: having more than one tRNA (with a specific anti-codon) for a particular amino acid; and 'wobble' base-pairing, i.e. permitting non-standard base-pairing at the 3rd anti-codon position. The record is from RNAcentral. Lineage: Bacteria; Pseudomonadati; Bacteroidota; Cytophagia; Cytophagales; Cytophagaceae.